UACGGGGGGUGCGAGCGUUGUCCGGAAUCACUGGGCGUAAAGGGCGCGUAGGUGGUUUGAUAAGGGUGUGGUGAAAGCCCGGGGCUCAACCCCGGGUCUGCAGUCGAUACGGGCGGACUGGAGUUCGGCAGGGGAGACUGGAAUUCCUGGUGUAGCGGUGAAAUGCGCAGAUAUCAGGAAGAACACCGAUGGCGAAGGCAGUUCUCUGGGCCGUAACUGACGCUGAGGAGCGAAAGCGUGGGGAGCGAACAGG
This 253-nucleotide ribosomal RNA is filed under the name uncultured bacterium. RNAcentral's name for it is "partial 16S ribosomal RNA". It matches the Rfam family "Bacterial small subunit ribosomal RNA", at positions 524 to 776 of the family's 1533-position model. The record is from RNAcentral.